RNAcentral lists this ribosomal RNA (501 nucleotides) under uncultured bacterium. Its description in RNAcentral is "bacterial SSU rRNA". It matches the Rfam family "Bacterial small subunit ribosomal RNA", at positions 19 to 518 of the family's 1533-position model. The record is from RNAcentral.
AUGGCUCAGGAUGAACGCUGGCGGCGUGCUUAACACAUGCAAGUCGAGCGAAGCACUCUGGAAGAUUCCUUCGGGAUGAUUCCUCUGUGACUUAGCGGCGGACGGGUGAGUAACGCGUGGGCAACCUGCCUUGUACAGGGGGAUAACAGUUAGAAAUGACUGCUAAUACCGCAUAAGCGCACAGCAUGGCAUCAUGCAGUGUGAAAAAACUCCGGUGGUACAAGAUGGGCCCGCGUUGGAUUAGCUAGUUGGUGGGGUAACGGCCCACCAAGGCGACGAUCCAUAGCCGGACUGAGAGGUCGAACGGCCACAUUGGGACUGAGACACGGCCCAGACUCCUACGGGAGGCAGCAGUGGGGAAUAUUGCACAAUGGAGGAAACUCUGAUGCCAGCGACGCCGCGUGAGUGAUGAAGUAUUUCGGUAUGUAAAGCUCUAUCAGCAGGGAAGAAGACGACGGUACCUGACUAAGAAGCCCCGGCUAACUACGUGCCAGCCGCGGC